UUCAGAUAAAUCAAAAAGAGUUCAGUUCAGACACUGAACAAAUCCAAAACAUAAAUCAUAAAAUCCAAGAGGAUUUAAGCAUUCCUCUGGACACUAGAUCUGGCCAACAGUUUUUAAACAGCAAUAUAGCUCAAUAUACACUAAAUAACACUCUGGACAGUAAUUCUAAAGAAAAUGCAGGUAACAGUUCAAAAGAAUUUUUUUUGAAUUAGGACAGGAGAAUACUCUGGACAAUAGAGCUAACUGUCAAAAUAAAAACCAAAAUAAAAGCCCAAAUAGAAACUCAAAAGAAAUACAUUUUGAGUUGCCAAUAGCAAGGAUGCUCUGGACACCCAAAUAAGUGAUCCAAA
Molecule: long non-coding RNA, 350 nt
Filed under: Zostera marina
Lineage: Eukaryota; Viridiplantae; Streptophyta; Magnoliopsida; Alismatales; Zosteraceae
Description: long non-coding RNA (ZMAR_LNC003427)
Source: RNAcentral